UUCCGGUUGAUCCUGCCGGAGGUCACUGCUAUUGGGAUUCGGCUAAGCCAUGCAAGCGGAGGGCGCGGUCGAAAGAUCGUGGCCCCGCACACUGCUCAGUAACACGUAGUCAACCUACCCUUGGGACGGGGACAACCUCGGGAAACUGAGGCUAAUCCCCGAUAGGUGAGGGACGCUGGGAUGCCUCCUCGCCCAAAGCUCCGGCGCCCAAGGAUGGGACUGCGGUCUAUCAGGCUGUUGGUGGUGUAACGGACCACCAAACCUACGACGGGUACGGGCGAUGGGAGUCGGAGCCCGGAGAUGGGGACUGAGACAAGGCCCCAGGCCCUACGGGGCGCAGCAGGCGCGAAAACUCCGCAAUGCGCGCAAGCGUGACGGGGGAAUCCCAAGUGCCGUUGGUCUUAUGAUCGACGGUUUUUAGGAAGUCUAAGAAGCUUCCAGAAUAAGGGCUGGGCAAGACUGGUGCCAGCCGCCGCGGUAACACCAGCAGCCCAAGUGGUGACCACGAUUAUUGGGCCUAAAGCGCUCGUAGCCGGAUCAGCAAGUCCCUUGUGAAAUCGGGCCGCCCAACGGUUCGGCGUGCAAGGGAUACUGUUGGUCUUGAGGCCGGGAGAGGUCGGAGGUACUCCUGGGGUAGCGGUGAAAUGCUCUAAUCCUAGGGGGACCACCAGUGGCGAAGGCGUCCGACCAGAACGGACCUGACGGUGAGGGACGAAGGCUAGGGGAGCGAACGGGAUUAGAUACCCCGGUAGUCCUAGCUGUAAAGCAUGCGGGCCAGGUGUCUAGCGCUCCUCGAGGGCGCUAGGUGCCGGAGGGAAGCCGUUAAGCCCGCCGCCUGGGAAGUACGGCCGCAAGGCUGAACUUAAAGAAAUUGGCGGGGGAGCACCACAAGGGGUGGAGCCUGCGGUUUAAUUGGAAUCAACGCCGG
This 928-nucleotide ribosomal RNA is filed under the name uncultured archaeon. RNAcentral describes it as "bacterial SSU rRNA". It matches the Rfam family "Archaeal small subunit ribosomal RNA", at positions 1 to 921 of the family's 1478-position model. The record is from RNAcentral.